ACAGGGGGCUGACCUCUGUCUGUUAAAUGUGUAACUGUGUCUACACAUCAGGGGACUGACCUCAGUGUGUUGAAUAUGUAACUGUGUCUACACAUGAGGGGGUUGACCUCAGCGUGCCGAGAGGCCAAAAUGGAGAGAAAAUGAGGUUGCCCAGGUGUCUUUCCUGGUGGGCCCAGACUUUGGGGUUUCAGGACGGGUGAGAGGGAGUCGGGGCGGGCAGGACCCUGGCAUGAGUAGCAUGCUUCCGAAAGCUGGCUGGGAGAAACCUUGGGACCUCCUUGUCUAAACUAGACUCCUGGCCUGUGGAGGGGCAGGGGCCCCGCCUCCCUCAGCCCCUGCCGCCCGCUGUCUUUCUGGGUGGCUUGCACAUCCUGCUGCAGCCUUUCGAGGGCAACCCAGCAGGGAAACUGGAGCUGCAGGCAGGAGGCGCGGCCCGUUUCAUCCACCCGGGGAUGGGGCGAGCUACAGGUGUGGCCAUUGUUCCUGAGCACAGGUGGGGCUAAUGCGUCCUGACAGCCCAAGGAUGGGCCCCUGGCAGCCUCUGCGGCCUGGCCCGAGCCCCAGGGCAGCCCUCGUGGGCACCCAAAUUACAAAACGUCCUGUGAACUCUCUCCACGGUCCUGGUCUCUUCAUGUGUUUCCAACGCCGGCGGCUUGGACACACCUGGGAGCAGCUGUGGCCCAUUCACGGAGAGCUUUGGUGAAGGUCACCAUCCACAGGGACAGAGCAGGUAUUGUCAAGGAUGCCAGCCUAGCCUUUGUGCCCCGCCGGCUGCCCCAACCACAGGAAUUCCUCACACUCACCCUCAUUCACACCAGGAGGGUGCCCACUGCCGCUGGGGGCGGCAGCCACCCCCUCCCUCCCCAUGCUGUUUUCAGGCCGGAGGCUGGAGCCUCGGCCAAAGCAACCUCACCCACCAUUUUCCAAAACCUAAUUGCCAUGGCUGUGUCUGUGACGGGCACAGACCCAGGUGCCGGGCCUGCCAAGAAUCUCCCCGUGUGAAUACCUGCACAGGGCACCUCCUGUGGGAACCGGGAGUCACAUAGAGCCUGGCAUUUGUCCCCAGCCUGUCUUGUGACAUUAGGUAGAUCAAAGCCCCAUUGUAAAAAGUCAUGUUACCUCUGUUCAUCUGCUUGGAGGCUGUGUCCUGGGACGGCCCUUCCCUCGGCUCUGGCUCGGGGAGGGAGCUGACCGCCGAGACAGACAUGUGCUCACAUUUGGGCCCCAGCGUUCCUCCUGGAAGGAACCCCACCGAAAGUGAAAUUGCCUUUCAUGGGUCUGAGGCUGGGGCACACCCUGAGAAAGAAUGAGAAAGUGUGGGGCAGUACGGCUCCUCUCCAAAGCCUUCAGAGGAACAAGUUCCUACUUGGUUCUGCUAAGGAACAGCAAGAAGGCAGAGAAAAAUGUCACCAACACUGAAAUCCUGGAGGCUUCCUGAAUUGGCAAUGGGGGUGGGGAGCUGGCAGAGGCUGGGGAGGGGGCAGCCUCUGUCCAGCAGCCCCUUGGGUCAUGGCAGGGAGGGGGCGAUGGCAAAAGGUGAGAAGACACGAUGCUUUGACAAGAGUGAGUGGUGGGGCGGGAUCAGAUCCUUCCAGAGGGCACAGCUUGCCCUUGACUCCUAGCCUGGCCAUUGUGUGUCAGAUGAGGGGGGCACUCAAAUUGCUCAACUGCCUGAGGGGCGACUUGAGAGCUAGAAGGAUCUUUACCCAUCAUGCAGUCCUUAGGUAGUCCAUUGGUACAGGCUGCCUGGAGCAUGUGCUGAGAUGGGAAGAACUGUGCCAAGAUGGAUUAGUAAUGUCUGCAUGGCUGCCGGACUGUCAGUGAUGGUGUGUGUGUCGUGUGUUUGCCAUCUCUAGUCAGGAUAAGCUAGGUUUUGCUGCCAAAACAAAUAAACCUCCA
Long non-coding RNA from Sapajus apella (tufted capuchin), 1899 nucleotides. RefSeq lists it as uncharacterized. NCBI's taxonomy places the organism in Eukaryota, Metazoa, Chordata, Mammalia, Primates, Cebidae. The transcript is spliced from 3 exons. The record is from RefSeq and is a predicted model, not a curated record.